RNAcentral lists this long non-coding RNA (288 nucleotides) under Mytilus galloprovincialis (Mediterranean mussel). The record is from RNAcentral. Lineage: Eukaryota; Metazoa; Mollusca; Bivalvia; Mytilida; Mytilidae.
UACAUAGCAAAUGAACCUCAUUGUCUUAAGACGUCUCGAGACAGUCUUGAGACAUACACCUUAUGUCUUGAGACAUAGAGCAUACGUCUUAAGACAUGAAACCAUUGAAGAUGUGUCUUGAGACAUAGAAUAUAUGUCUUAAGACAUGUAUCUUGAAGACAUUUUUGAAACUUCAAAAAUUGUAUCCUCUCAUCCAAGACGUCUUGAAAAAAAAUGUUGGUGUCUUGAAGACAUUGAAACAAAAAAAUACCAGUGGCCCAUAAAAUAUAUUCUAAACACAUAAAAAAC